UACGGGGGGAGCAAGCGUUGUUCGGAUUUACUGGGCGUAAAGGGCGCGUAGGCGGCCAGCACAAGUCAGUUGUGAAAUCUCCGGGCUUAACUCGGAAAGGUCAACUGAUACUGUGCGACUAGAGUGCAGAAGGGGCAACUGGAAUUCUCGGUGUAGCGGUGAAAUGCGUAGAUAUCGAGAGGAACACCUGCGGCGAAGGCGGGUUGCUGGGCUGACACUGACGCUGAUGCGCGAAGGCUAGGGGAGCGAACGGG
Molecule: ribosomal RNA, 254 nt
Filed under: uncultured bacterium
Lineage: Bacteria
Description: partial 16S ribosomal RNA
Rfam family: Bacterial small subunit ribosomal RNA
Source: RNAcentral